RNAcentral lists this ribosomal RNA (505 nucleotides) under uncultured bacterium. RNAcentral's name for it is "partial 16S ribosomal RNA". It matches the Rfam family "Bacterial small subunit ribosomal RNA", at positions 28 to 507 of the family's 1533-position model. The record is from RNAcentral.
GACGAACGCUGGCGGCGUGCCUAAUACAUGCAAGUCGAACGCACAGUUUAUACCGUAGCUUGCUACACCAUAAACUGUGAGUUGCGAACGGGUGAGUAACGCGUAGGUAACCUGCCUGGUAGCGGGGGAUAACUAUUGGAAACGAUAGCUAAUACCGCAUAAUAUUGAUUAUUGCAUGAUAAUUGAUUGAAAGAUGCUAUUGCAUCACUACCAGAUGGACCUGCGUUGUAUUAGCUAGUAGGUGAGGUAACGGCUCACCUAGGCGACGAUACAUAGCCGACCUGAGAGGGUGAUCGGCCACACUGGGACUGAGACACGGCCCAGACGCCUACGGGAGGCAGCCGUAGGGCAUCUUCGGCAAUGGACGGAAGUCUGACCGAGCAACGCCGCGUGAGUGAAGAAGGUUGUCGGAUCGUAAAGCUCUGUUGUAAGAGAAGAACGGGUGUGAGAGUGGAAAGUUCACACUGUGACGGUAUCUUACCAGAAAGGGACGGCUAACUACGUG